UACGAAGGGUGCAAGCGUUACUCGGAAUUACUGGGCGUAAAGCGUGCGUAGGUGGUUCGUUAAGUCUGAUGUGAAAGCCCUGGGCUCAACCUGGGAACUGCAUUGGAUACUGGCGAUCUGGAGUGCGGUAGAGGGUGGCGGAAUUCCCGGUGUAGCAGUGAAAUGUGUAGAUAUCGGGAGGAACAUCCGUGGCGAAGGCGGCCACCUGGACCAGCACUGACACUGAGGCACGAAAGCGUGGGGAGCAAACAGG
RNAcentral lists this ribosomal RNA (253 nucleotides) under uncultured bacterium. RNAcentral describes it as "partial 16S ribosomal RNA". It matches the Rfam family "Bacterial small subunit ribosomal RNA", at positions 524 to 776 of the family's 1533-position model. The record is from RNAcentral.